This 710-nucleotide unclassified non-coding RNA is filed under the name uncultured cyanobacterium. Its description in RNAcentral is "partial contains 16S ribosomal RNA, 16S-23S ribosomal RNA intergenic spacer, and 23S ribosomal RNA". The stretch from base 1 to 113 matches the Rfam family "Bacterial small subunit ribosomal RNA", at positions 1422 to 1533 of the family's 1533-position model. Lineage: Bacteria; Bacillati; Cyanobacteriota. The record is from RNAcentral.
UGAAGUCGUUACUCCAACCCUUGUGGAGGAGGACGCCGAAGGUGGGGCUAAUGACUGGGGUGAAGUCGUAACAAGGUAGCCGUACCGGAAGGUGCGGCUGGAUCACCUCCUAACAGGGAGACAACAAAAUGUAAAUAUUAAUUUUGUCACCUUAGGUCGAUCGGUAUCUCAGAUUCUUAAUUUUUAAGAAUUUCAGUUUCUAAGUUUUUUCUAGGUCACACCCAUCACUUUUUCCUGGGCCAUUAGCUCAGGUGGUUAGAGCGCACCCCUGAUAAGGGUGAGGUCCCUGGUUCAAGUCCAGGAUGGCCCAUACUCUAUGUUGGGGGUAUAGCUCAGUUGGUAGAGCGCCUGCUUUGCAAGCAGGAUGUCAGCGGUUCGAGUCCGCUUACCUCCACUGAAUACCACCUCUUGCAUAUUGUUAAAGAGGGAAAUUGUUUGAGACGUGUCCUAAUUUGCUCUGAGCGAAUCUAGCUUCCUAUUUUUUUAAAUAAGAUGCUGAACUCAUUGAAUUUUAUUCAUUGUUUUUCAGAGAACCUUGACAACUGCAUAGAUUAUUUUUGAAGACAAUAAGCAUCUUUAAUGAUGCAGAUUUAUUAUUUGUGCGAAUGCAUUAAAUAACAAUUCUAUUAAGCUGAUGCUUCAAUUAUUGAAGUUAUUGGUCAAGCUACAAAGGGCUCACGGAUGAUACCUAGGCACACAGAGGCGAUGAA